Molecule: long non-coding RNA, 1654 nt
Organism: Salvia splendens (bonfire salvia)
Lineage: Eukaryota; Viridiplantae; Streptophyta; Magnoliopsida; Lamiales; Lamiaceae
Exons: 2
Source: RefSeq, a predicted model, not a curated record
CCAUUUGUUUCGAGCUAUGGUCGAGUUGUGUUGAUUUUCCCUUUUCUUUCCCGCUUCUUUAAUCAUCCCCUAGUCGCGAUCAACCGUGUUUUCUAUCCUUAGAAAAUGCGGGCGUGACAGAAACCCUAGACCCUUCUCUCCUUCCUCCUUCUCGGCGAAGACACCGACAUCACGACAAUUAACCGGCCCGCGAUCUGUCGCUGGCGUCACCUUUGCGCCGUCAUCGGAAUCAGAGGAGGAGGCGUCGCCUCCGUGUCUCUCCCUCGGCGACUGUUCCGUCGUCUUCCCAAGGUGAGCGACGAGGCUCCGGAAAACUCACUCACGGUUAGUGCCUUACGGAGACCUCUCCCUUCCGCCGUCGUUGCUGUCACGCGGUGGAUUUUCUCGGCAGAAGUUCUCGGCUCAUCCGACCGCCGCUGGUUCGUGGGCAGUCAGGCUGGGACGGCGUGGUCAGCUGUCGCUGCUGCGCGUCGGAAAUCGCAUGCGGUCUCGGCUCUGAACCGCACCUGAUGCUCCGCCAUCGGGUCGCCGUUGGUUCACCGUUGGCGCCGCCAUUCUCUGACGGAAAAUCCCUAAAGCUAAGUCUUCUACCUUAGUUUAUAUCUGAUUAAGUUUCUCGGCAAUAGUUACUUAAAUUUUGAGAGUCAAGUCUGUGAUAACUGUGAUUGGAGCAUUCUUCUUUGGACUUGCUGAUAGAUUGGAUUUCUAAUUGGAGGAACUGAUUUGAGUAGAAAAUCCCAGAACAUAGUUAUGCCUUCUAUGCGCAUGACGUCAUUUUUUUUGUGUUCUGGCCUGGUUCUAAAGGUGUAUGGGCUAUAUUUGAGGCAUUCAUCACUACUAUUACGUUGUGUUUCCCUGGUGUGAGGUGUUAUGUAUGAUGCUAUGAGCUAUAUUUGAGUUUGAGGAAGAAAAAGGGUAUGGAAGUUACCUUCUUCCACUGCUCCGAUUCCCCUCCUCUGGCUUCGGUGUCGGCCUCUCUCCCCCUUUCGGUUCUGCUUAGAAAUGCAGCUGAUAUGUGGUGUGAAGGGGCGGCUAAGGGUUGAUCCCAUAUUUAUCCAGGAUUUGUAACUGAAAGCCUGUUAAGGCUGAUGUACUUGGCUGAAAAAGGGGUCUUUGGUUGGUUAUGUGUUGGCUGCCUUCUCUGCAGCUUUGCAGAGUGAAAACUCUGAAUUUGUGGCUUCUUUCCCAACCGUUUCUGGGGUUUCAUGGUAGUGGCUACACUCUGCAGGAAUUCGCAGGGUGUACUCGUGAGAUGUUUGAGCCUAAGGCUCCUUGCCGUGUUCUGAUCUCCUAACUGAAAGUUGUGGCUAUUUCUUGUGUUUCUUGCUGCACACUUUAACUGCAUUUGUGUACCCCUCUCGCAUGUACUAGCUGGAGUGCAGGUGGCUGCUGGGACAAGAGGCUGACUCUUCCCGGCUGCUGUCUCGUCGACUUGGCCCAACGGGCCGUCGGAAAUCUGGGCUAAAACAAGCUAAGGAGAAGGCCCAAAACUAGUUUUCUCUAUUCUUCCUAUUUUGUAAUAGUGUAGACCGUCUUUAAAUUUCCUAUCUUGUUCCAAACAUGUAUGUAGAACUCAAUAAUAGUUGGUAUGGAAUGUCUUUCAACAUUUGUAAUUUAUUAGCUUUGAAAUUCUGAAAUUGUAUUUAUAUUCUUA